CAGCUCUUAGAUAGCUAUCCCAGCGGAGCAAAGAGAUCGAGGACUCUACUCCAGCCUGUCCAGUGUUCCAGCAUCUGCAGUAAUGCCAGUGAAAUACAGCUAAGUCACCAGAACUGCCAACAUCCUUUCUGCAAAGAGUCCUCAAACACAUCCCUUAAUCUUUUCGCAGGUGCAAAUGCAAGUUUUAAGGUGCAAAGUGGAGCUACAAACAUUGCGGACUUUGUCCAGCUGAAAUUCAGGCUUUAACGACAUCUAAAUAACUCAAGUGAUGUGAUCACAGGACGCCGCUUGCAGAGAGAGUGUUACAAAUAUCACAGAUUGGACCGGUGUGUGUGAGGUGAAGCUGCACUGUUUAGAGAAAAUGAAAUGCAGCUAAUUUUCACCAUCUCUGCUUUUGCCUAAAACAUUCUUUCCAUAUACUAAUCCAAACUUCACCUUUAUGUUUGAAGACAACUUUUACCAAAUAUAAAAGGAAAUAAAAUGCUUUUCUUUGUAGACAUGAUUGAUUCG
RNAcentral lists this long non-coding RNA (510 nucleotides) under Chinchilla lanigera (long-tailed chinchilla). Its description in RNAcentral is "lncRNA (ENSCLAG00000022457.1)". The record is from RNAcentral. Lineage: Eukaryota; Metazoa; Chordata; Mammalia; Rodentia; Chinchillidae.